This 665-nucleotide ribosomal RNA is filed under the name uncultured Actinomycetes bacterium. Its description in RNAcentral is "bacterial SSU rRNA". It matches the Rfam family "Bacterial small subunit ribosomal RNA", at positions 241 to 916 of the family's 1533-position model. The record is from RNAcentral. Lineage: Bacteria; Bacillati; Actinomycetota; Actinomycetes.
UCAGCUUGUUGGUGAGGUAAUGGCUCACCAAGGCGACGACGGGUAGCCGGCCUGAGAGGGCGAUCGGCCACACUGGGACUGAGACACGGCCCAGACUCCUACGGGAGGCAGCAGUGGGGAAUAUUGCACAAUGGGCGAAAGCCUGAUGCAGCGACGCCGCGUGAGGGAUGAAGGCCUUCGGGUUGUAAACCUCUUUCAGCAGGGAAGAAGCGAAAGUGACGGUACCUGCAGAAGAAGCACCGGCUAACUACGUGCCAGCAGCCGCGGUAAUACGUAGGGUGCAAGCGUUGUCCGGAAUUAUUGGGCGUAAAGAGCUUGUAGGCGGUUUGUCGCGUCUGCUGUGAAAUUUCGGGGCUCAACCCCGAACUUGCAGUGGGUACGGGCAGACUAGAGUGUGGUAGGGGAGACUGGAAUUCCUGGUGUAGCGGUGAAAUGCGCAGAUAUCAGGAGGAACACCGAUGGCGAAGGCAGGUCUCUGGGCCACUACUGACGCUGAGAAGCGAAAGCAUGGGGAGCGAACAGGAUUAGAUACCCUGGUAGUCCAUGCCGUAAACGGUGGGAACUAGGUGUGGGCCUCAUUCCACCAGGUCCGUGCCGCAGCUAACGCAUUAAGUUCCCCGCCUGGGGAGUACGGCCGCAAGGCUAAAACUCAAAGGAAUUGACGG